UUGUAUAAUGGGUCAGCGACUUAUAUUCAGUGGCAAGGUUAACCAUCUAGGGGAGCCGUAGGGAAACCGAGUCUUAACUGGGCGUUCAGUCUCUGGAUAUAGACCCGAAACCAGGUGAUCUAGCCAUGGGCAGGUUGAAGGUUGAGUAACAUCAACUGGAGGACCGAACCGACUAAUGUUGAAAAAUUAGCGGAUGACUUGUGGCUAGGGGUGAAAG
RNAcentral lists this ribosomal RNA (217 nucleotides) under Vibrio parahaemolyticus. Its description in RNAcentral is "partial 23S ribosomal RNA". It matches the Rfam family "Bacterial large subunit ribosomal RNA", at positions 608 to 827 of the family's 2925-position model. Lineage: Bacteria; Pseudomonadati; Pseudomonadota; Gammaproteobacteria; Vibrionales; Vibrionaceae. The record is from RNAcentral.